CCUACGGGUGGCAGCAGUGGGGGAUAUUGGUCAAUGGGGGGAACCCUGAUCCAGCGACGCCGCGUGAGUGAAGAAGUAUUUCGGUAUGUAAAGCUCUGUCAGCAGGGAAGAAAGAAAUGACGGUACCUGACCAAGAAGCCCCGUCUAACUACGUGCCAGCAGCCGCGGGUAUACGUAGGGGGCAAGCGUUAUCCGGGAUUACUGGGUGUAAAGGGUGCUUGGACGGUUAAGUAAGUCUGGAGUGAAAGGCCGGGGCCCCACCCCGGGCCUGCUGUGGAAACGACUGGACUUGAGUGCAGGAGAGGUAAGCGGAAUUCCUAGUGUAGCGGUGAAAUGCGUAGAUAUUAGGAGGAACACCAGUGGCGAAGGCGGCUUACUGGACUGUAACUGACGUUGAGGCUCGAAAGCGUGGGGAGCAAACAGGAUUAGAUACCCCUGUAGUC
RNAcentral lists this ribosomal RNA (443 nucleotides) under uncultured bacterium. Its description in RNAcentral is "partial 16S ribosomal RNA". It matches the Rfam family "Bacterial small subunit ribosomal RNA", at positions 338 to 795 of the family's 1533-position model. The record is from RNAcentral.